GCAAGUCGAGGGGUAACGGAAGUAGCUUGCUAAUUUGCUGACGAGCGGCGGACGGGUGAGUAAUGCCUAGGGAACUGCCCAGUCGAGGGGGAUAACAGUUGGAAACGACUGCUAAUACCGCAUACGCCCUACGGGGGAAAGGAGGGGACCUUCGGGCCUUUCGCGAUUGGAUGAACCUAGGUGGGAUUAGCUAGUAGGUGGGGUAAUGGCUCACCUAGGCAACGAUCCCUAGCUGGUCUGAGAGGAUGAUC
This 251-nucleotide ribosomal RNA is filed under the name uncultured bacterium. Its description in RNAcentral is "partial 16S ribosomal RNA". It matches the Rfam family "Bacterial small subunit ribosomal RNA", at positions 57 to 305 of the family's 1533-position model. The record is from RNAcentral.